This 299-nucleotide long non-coding RNA is filed under the name Setaria viridis. RNAcentral's name for it is "long non-coding RNA (SVIR_LNC003164)". Lineage: Eukaryota; Viridiplantae; Streptophyta; Magnoliopsida; Poales; Poaceae. The record is from RNAcentral.
UGCUUGUCUUCUUGGUGAUUUUAUCUUUCCAACGAGUAUUUUUGGAGAAUUUUUGGACACGGAUAGCUAGGUCAUUUAAGGGGUCAAAGUUGGUACGUUUUAUUUCUCCGCGAGCCCACGCAUCAGCACUUCUCCUUCCUCACGUCACCAGAAGCAUGUCGUUGGCCUGCAGGGGCCAACGACACCUGGCCGGCGCCUAUGGGAGCUCUCCUCCCCUCCAAUCCUUGCGCUCGGGGGUGAGUCACCGCGCCAUCCUUAUCCUCGCCCUCCCCCUCCUAUAUAAAGCCCCUAACCCUCCC